UGUAACGACCCGGAUUCUUAACCGGAAUUGGUUCUCAUUUUCUCUUUAAUUAAUUUGGACCAAACCAAUUUCGUUCCUUUUGGUUUAACCAAACUGUGCAUACGUUUAUAUAAAACGUGUACAUCUCCUUCUUCUUUCUAACCUAGCCGUCAAAGUCAUUGCUCUUCCUCUCCACUCAUAACCUAGCCUCAAACCAUGAUCUCUCUCAUGCUUCAUCUCCUUCCCAUAUCUCUUACUCAUCACUUGUGUCAUUUUUCUUCUUCACGCAUGUGCAUGUGCAUGUGCAUAGGAGAACGCGAGUACGAGAUGCGGCGGUAAAACUAAGCACCAUCACCGAUGGAUCACCAUUGCUAGCCACCACCGGAGCUGUUAUGCAUCACUGGAGGAGAAGCUAUGCCAUCAUGCCUAGUCCGGUACCAUCCCGUCCUUGGCGUUGACGCGUUGUAUACGGUUCGUAGGUGGAGAACGUGAGCCGAGAGGGAAAGGAGUCAUACGAGACGGAGCCACCGUCUAAACACCAACCGUCUCCUUCUCCUCUCCUUGUUCCUUGUGCCACAAGCUUCCUUAUCAUUUAAUUAUCAACCGCAUGGUCUUGGUUGGAAUCAACCAUGGAAUCUAAUCUUAGGUGUGAUGGUUCAACAAGUAAUUAUUUCUCGGUGGCCUGUGGCUAAGGUGAGGGUCUAUUCCUGAACUUCUCGUACACGGCUUAGAAUUUCGGAAAAGUCUAAUUUAAUUUCUAAUAUGUUCCGUUUGCGUGAAAUCGAGUCUGUCUUUGCUUGCUUAGUUUUAGGUUCUUUGAUAAAAUGGAAUUAGGGUGUUAGAUGGUUCAACAAUGCUUGGUCAUAUAAUUGAUUAUAUAUAGAUAUAUUUUAUAUUGAGGUGAUUAGGAUGUUAGCCGACCACAGAGACGUAAUUCUGUGUGCCGGCCGGGGACCAGUAGAUUUGAUGAUUUGGUGUGGAGAUGCUGCGGCACAGCUUAGUCGACCUGUUGUGCCAAGGCUUCGAGGUCGAUAAAUCGUCUACGGGCGUGUGUUACCGAGCACUUUGUCGGCGGAGUUUUUGGCCUUUUAUUGGGCAGCGGGAGUGCACCCCGCUAGGACCAUUGUUUGUUUUAUGGGUACUUUAGGUACCGUGUUUGACUCAUGUUAGGGUUAAAUUAUAUUUAUUCGGAGUACUAUGUCCGGGUCUAUGGAUUUCGGGAUUAGCAUCCCAUACCUCACUGAGUGACUCCCCUGUUGCUCACCCCUCUUUUCUCCUUGCAGGUGAGCUUGACGAGUAGUCGGAUAACUGAACGGAUGGUGUCUUGGGAUUGUCGUAUUUUAUUUCGGUUUUCAAUUCGAUUUAUUUCACAUAUUUUUAUAAUUAAAUUUAAAGUUGUAUUUUUUUCGGAUAUAUAAUAUUAAAAUUUUUAAUAUUUUGUUCGGUUUUGAAUAACUCGGUUUAAUUUGGUAUUUUUUUGGUAAGUAACACGCCGGUCUCGAGAGAGGAGGAGACGGGUGUUACAAUUUGGUAUCAGAGCGGGUUCCGUCCCGGUUCCGACCCGGGAUGACGAUUUAUGGGACUUGUGUUUCAACGAUUUUCAAAGUGUUUGGGAUUGGGAGUUUUGAAAAAUAAAAGUGACACCAUUCGGUUUAGUUUUACUCGUUAGAUAUUAGCAUUUUAACUCUUUCAUUUUUUGCAGGAGAAGACCAAGUUUCAUUUCGUUUCCAUUUAUUUCGUGUUCUUCUUUCCUUCAUAGUCGUCGAAGUUCUUUAGGGUUUCGUCUAGAAUUCGGGACGAAUUCCAGUUAAGUGGGGAAGAAUUGUAACGACCCGGAUUCUUAACCGGAAUUGGUUCUCAUUUUCUCUUUAAUUAAUUUGGACCAAACCAAUUUCGUUCCUUUUGGUUUAACCAAACUGUGCAUACGUUUAUAUAAAACGUGUACAUCUCCUUCUUCUUUCUAACCUAGCCGUCAAAGUCAUUGCUCUUCCUCUCCACUCAUAACCUAGCCUCAAACCAUGAUCUCUCUCAUGCUUCAUCUCCUUCCCAUAUCUCUUACUCAUCACUUGUGUCAUUUUUCUUCUUCACGCAUGUGCAUGUGCAUGUGCAUAGGAGAACGCGAGUACGAGAUGCGGCGGUAAAACUAAGCACCAUCACCGAUGGAUCACCAUUGCUAGCCACCACCGGAGCUGUUAUGCAUCACUGGAGGAGAAGCUAUGCCAUCAUGCCUUGUCCGGUACCAUCCCGUCCUUGGCGUUGACGCGUUGUAUACGGUUCGUAGGUGGAGAACGUGAGCCGAGAGGGAAAGGAGUCAUACGAGACGGAGCCACCGUCUAAACACCAACCGUCUCCUUCUCCUCUCCUUGUUCCUUGUGCCACAAGCUUCCUUAUCAUUUAAUUAUCAACCGCAUGGUCUUGGUUGGUAAUAUCCAAUUCUUUUAUUGGUUAGUUAAGUGAUCUUAUUCGUUACUUGUGGUGGAAGUAACUUAAGUAAGGUAAACCCUAAAUUUCAUUCGUAGGAAUCAACCAUGGAAUCUAAUCUUAGGUGUGAUGGUUCAACAAGUAAUUAUUUCUCGGUGGCCUGUGGCUAAGGUGAGCUUGACGAGUAGUCGGAUAACUGAACGGAUGGUGUCUUGGGAUUGUCGUAUUUUAUUUCGGUUUUCAAUUCGAUUUAUUUCACAUAUUUUUAUAAUUAAAUUUAAAGUUGUAUUUUUUUCGGAUAUAUAAUAUUAAAAUUUUUAAUAUUUUGUUCGGUUUUGAAUAACUCGGUUUAAUUUGGUAUUUUUUUGGUAAGUAACACGCCGGUCUCGAGAGAGGAG
This is a long non-coding RNA of Raphanus sativus (radish), 2798 nucleotides long. RefSeq lists it as uncharacterized. The transcript has 3 exons. Lineage: Eukaryota; Viridiplantae; Streptophyta; Magnoliopsida; Brassicales; Brassicaceae. The record is from RefSeq and is a predicted model, not a curated record.